RNAcentral lists this long non-coding RNA (1083 nucleotides) under Daphnia pulex (common water flea). Its description in RNAcentral is "uncharacterized LOC124208630, transcript variant X1". Lineage: Eukaryota; Metazoa; Arthropoda; Branchiopoda; Diplostraca; Daphniidae. The record is from RNAcentral.
UCCUACUUAACUUCAGCCUUGGCCCUUGAACCUUCAGAUAAACAAUCCGUGUCUGAUUCUAUUUGUUUAUCAAGCUCCCUAGAAAAUAUGCAGCUGUCACCAAUUAACAUUUGGAUUCAAUAUUCGGAAUUUCGGAUGAUAAGCUGUCUGAAAAUUUUGGAAGCAAUCCAGCGAGGCAGCGAUCCAGCCGUUCAUUCGUUUGUGGUUUGUGGAUGCUGAGGACUGUCGCUAGGUGGCGAGUGCCCAUUCGUUAGUGACAAUUUGUGCCAUUUGUUUCCGAGACGCUGUGCGAGUGAGAUAAUUAAUGCAAAUCGUAAUGGUUUACUGCGAAUUAAAUAGUUAUUUGUAUGGCAUCAUAGCGUGCAAUUUCUACUUGGCAAUUUCAUCUGAUCGUGUGGAACAGCUGUACAUUUUGCCAAAAUAUCUCUUUUCCUAUACCUGAAGUGCACGUUUCGUCAACUUCAGAACAAUUAAAGAUUAACAGCCUGGUAAAGUCUUCAGAGCUCCCUUGUUGUUGCACAACAUGCACAUGGAUUUGAUGUAGCCAGAUGGUUAAAGAUGUGCACUAAUUGAAGGCCAGUUGUUCCCUAGUUGAUGUCCGAUGUGGGACGUUGUUGCAGCCUAUGCUGGUGAAAGAUCUUUUUACAUCUCAUGUUAAACUGCAGGCUGUUCCUUGGUGCUGGUGUCGUGUUACCGAAGUUGCAUCAUUGUUUUGUUUGAUUGUCAUUGGGUCUGCAGUUUAUCGUUUACAUGUUAUGAGGGAACAAAAACAGAAAUCUGGGGAAUUCAUGUCAAACAAUUAAUAAACAUGUUUUGAGAUUGGGAAAGGAAUGUAGAGGAUGUUGGGGGGGGGGAGAUUGAAUUUUAAAAAAAAUUUAGAGGUUUGUUGUAAAUAAAAUAUUACCUACAUGUUAGGUAAUGAUUAAAACCAUAACUUAUAAUCCCACCAUAAUACACCGUCAUAUUUUUCCCACAUCCCUAUAACCUUUAAUCCAACAAACAUACCUACAUAUAGUUUUCCUUUCCAUAUAACUCUUGUAAUGUGCAAUAUGAAUUUAAUAGUCAAUAAAAUCUAAAUUGUUU